RNAcentral lists this long non-coding RNA (677 nucleotides) under Homo sapiens (human). RNAcentral's name for it is "HSALNT0191427". The record is from RNAcentral. Lineage: Eukaryota; Metazoa; Chordata; Mammalia; Primates; Hominidae.
CCCGUCUGCUGUGGGAGGGACUGUGUGGAAGGUUAUUGAAUCAUGGGGGUGGAUCUUUCCCACACUGUUCUUGUGAUGGUGAAUAAGUCUUAUGAGAUCUGAUGGUUUUAUAAGGGGGAGUUUCCCCGCACAAGUUCUCUUCUUUUGCCUGCUGCCAUCCACAUAAGAUGUAACUUGCUUCUCCUUGCCUUCCGCCAUGAUUGUGAGGCUGAGGUCCUGUGGAAGUAUACAGAAGACAUCUGUGCAGCAAGCUGAGCCAGAAAGGAAGAGACUAGUAAUUGUUGCAGAAAAAUCAAGAAGACUAAUCUUGCAUCUCCCUUGAAAUAUCCAAGAGGUAUUUCUGGAAAUGCCUGGAGGGAAUUUGUGUAUGAGGAUCAAGAAGAUGAAAAGCAGUUUGUUUUCAUUCUAGAAUCCAGGCUGACUGAUAAGCCCCUUACAUAGACACACUGUCCUUGAGAAAAAGCGAAAAGAAAAGAUGAAAAGCCUAGCAGUGACAUCUAAAGCUUCUGCAGAAAACUUAACUUCAUAUUUUACUGGAAUACUUGACACCUGUAGGGAGGAACACUGCAAAUCACAUGGCACAGCAUCCUGAAGAGAACCUGGCACAAAGUGUAUGUUCAAUAAAAAUUUGUUGAAUAAAUGAAGUUAUGGCAAUGAAGAAAUUCAUUAUAUGGAAA